RNAcentral lists this unclassified non-coding RNA (1112 nucleotides) under Hevea brasiliensis (rubber tree). The record is from RNAcentral. Lineage: Eukaryota; Viridiplantae; Streptophyta; Magnoliopsida; Malpighiales; Euphorbiaceae.
AGAAAAAAAAAAAAGAAAAAUAAAGCAAGUCUAUUCCAAUCAUGUAUAUAAUAAUCUUUACGUCCCUAGUCACCCAGCAUAACAAUCUCAAACAGUGUAGUCUUAAUGUUCUAGGCCAGUUAACAUGUCCUAAGCUGACAGCUAAUCAACCAGCUUACUCUCAAUAAUGUCUCAAAAAGGACACAAAAGUAAACUAUUGCCCAAAAGCAAUAAUAUCUAAACAUAUCAUGGUACUAUAUGUGAAUAUUAUGAAAAGGCAUUGCAACUUGUUCAUUGGGAAAUCUAAGCAUAAUCUGGUGCCUCAUAUACCUCAGAUUCAAAAUAAGCAUUAUGCACCAUUAUGCCUAUUAUAUCUCCUAAUCCAUUGUCAAAAUUAAUCUGGCACCAGGGAAAAUCUAAAAACUCAGCUGACAAGUUAAAAGAUGGCAAUGGUGGUCUACUAAAUGCAGUUUUGUAAAGCUUUCACAGUGAUGCAAACUGAAUUCGCAUAUGACAAAUAUUAUAUACCUUUCUAUAUUUAUUAAUAUUUGGACGCAAAUCAGUAUGAUGAAAACAUCUGCACUAAGAUCUCACAGGAAUAACAAUGUCUUUGGAUAUUUAAUGCAAACUAUUCCUAUCACAUCCAGCUGUUAUGAAAAUCAGGUAAAAAGACCAAGGUUAGGUGGCUGUCAACAAUCAACAUCCUCUAAAAGAUAAAGAGCUAGGGUGAACUGGUUCACAACCUCCUGUAAGCCUCAUUUGAACAUUGACAUACAUUGAUUCAUUCUCAGGUUAGGCAUUGUUAUGAUUGGUUGCCCCAACAAAUAUUUUCACAUUUUAUGGAUACCAGUUUUAUUCCCCCUUGCUUUCGUUCCCUUUGGCCUUAUUUAGUAGUGGAAAACAUUUUCUACUUCCAUAUUCCAGUUUUGAAUUUUCUUCUUCAUUUCUUAGUCUUUGAAUUUUUUAUUUUCAAGUGGAAAAUUGGAAAACCAGAAAAUAUGUAUAUUUUCCUUCUACAAGAUCUUCUUUUUACCUUGUUUUUUGAUAGUUACAUAAGCACUAUUUCAGUGAAAAUAUAAAGUUGAAUAUAUAAAUAGUCUAAUCACCUAAUUAUACUUUUUCCCCAACCUAAA